UGCAAGUCGAACGAGGCCCACCCGGUGGCAACACCGGUGAAGGCCUAGUGGCGAACGGGUGAGUAACACGUGAGCAACCUGCCCCGAAGACCGGGAUAACGGCGGGAAACCGCUGCUAAUACCGGAUAUCCCCAUUAGACCGCAUGGUCAUAUGAGGAAAUGGAUUCCGCUUCGGGAGGGACUCGCGGCCUAUCAGCUAGUUGGUGGGGCAAUGGCCUACCAAGGCGUCGACGGGUAGCUGGUCUGAGAGGACGAUCAGCCACACUGGGACUGAGACACGGCCCAGACUCCUACGGGAGGCAGCAGUGGGGAAUCUUGCGCAAUGGGCGAAAGCCUGACGCAGCAACGCCGCGUGAGGGAUGACGGCCUUCGGGUUGUAAACCUCUUUCGAGCAGGGACGAUAGUGACGGUACCUGCAGAAGAAGCUCCGGCCAACUACGUGCCAGCAGCCGCGGUAAUACGUAGGGAGCGAGCGUUGUCCGGAUUCAUUGGGCGUAAAGAGCUCGUAGGCGGUUCGGUAAGUCGGAUGUGAAACCUCCAGGCUCAACCUGGAGUCGCCAUCCGAUACUGCCAUGACUAGAGUCCGGUAGGGGCCCACGGAACUCCUGGUGUAGCGGUGAAAUGCGCAGAUAUCAGGAAGAACACCGGUGGCGAAGGCGGUGGGCUGGGCCGGAACUGACGCUGAGGAGCGAAAGCGUGGGGAGCGAACAGGAUUAGAUACCCUGGUAGUCCACGCCGUAAACGUUGGGCACUAGGUGUGGGACCUUUCAACGGGUUCCGUGCCGUAGCUAACGCAUUAAGUGCCCC
This 807-nucleotide ribosomal RNA is filed under the name uncultured Actinomycetes bacterium. RNAcentral's name for it is "bacterial SSU rRNA". It matches the Rfam family "Bacterial small subunit ribosomal RNA", at positions 56 to 870 of the family's 1533-position model. Lineage: Bacteria; Bacillati; Actinomycetota; Actinomycetes. The record is from RNAcentral.